Molecule: long non-coding RNA, 563 nt
Organism: Zalophus californianus (California sea lion)
Lineage: Eukaryota; Metazoa; Chordata; Mammalia; Carnivora; Otariidae
Exons: 3
Source: RefSeq, a predicted model, not a curated record
AGAAGACACAGCUAAAGAGUCCUCUCUGGGCCCAUGCGAGGCCGCCAUCUUGUCUGAAACCUAAAGCCCCUCCAUGUUCUUAAUCUGCUCCUCCUCAUCUCUUUAACAAUUUCUUGCCUAGAACAGUGCCUGGCACAUAACAGGUACAUAAUGCGUAUUUGUUGACUGAAAGGAGUCUUAAAGCCAUCAGACUGGAUGAGAGAGAGAAGGUGCAAAGAGAAGAGAUGGUCAAGGCCCAUGUCCUGAGGAACUGCAGAGGAGGAGGGAAACUCACUCUAGAGAAGCUGAAUUAUGUGGAGAGAUCUAAUAAGAUGAGAACCUAAAGAUAUCUUGAAGUUGCCAAUAUGGAGUUCACUGGUGAUCUGAUGGGCACAGUUUCCAUGGAGAGGUGGGAAGAGAAGGCGGAGUUGGGGUUUAGAGCAAAUGAGAGGUGAGGACACGACAAGAAGAUGGCUGUCUGCAAACCAGGAAGAGAGCCCUCACCAGACGUCAGAUCUGCCGCCACCUGGAGCUUGGACUUCCCAGCCUGAAGAACUGUGAGAAAUAAAAGUCUGUUGUUUAAG